AUGGGCGCGGUACCUCGGAACGCGUCGCGGCGGGUCACGCAGUACACCGACCGCCAGCCGCGGUCCUGCAGGAGCCUCCCCUGGUACUCUGCCACGGGGAUCGACGACACGAACGUGGCCGAGCUGCCGAACCGCUUCGGCAUCAGCGCCGAUGACUCGAUGUCGCCGAGCUGGUUGUGGUCGUCGUCCUCGAUCGGCGGCAGCAUAGACUCGUGCUCGCUCUCCCUGUCCGUCUUCUUCCCCAUGGUGGGCUUCCUCAGGAACAGCUUGAUCUUCUUCCUCCCGAGCCAGCCGUGGUGCUCGGUGGCGCGCGGCGGGCUGAACCCAUACAGAGCGGUGCGGCGGAAGAUGCAGCCCGUGCCGACGUACAUGGGGCCCUGCAGCCCGUCCAUGGCGCGCAUGGCGACGUCGAAGAAGACGAGGUUGUGGUUGGCGUACCGGUCGUUGGGGUCGAUGCCCUCGAACCGCUGCGGGAACUGCACGUAG
RNAcentral lists this ribosomal RNA (486 nucleotides) under Triticum aestivum (bread wheat). RNAcentral describes it as "partial small subunit ribosomal RNA". The record is from RNAcentral. Lineage: Eukaryota; Viridiplantae; Streptophyta; Magnoliopsida; Poales; Poaceae.